RNAcentral lists this long non-coding RNA (2907 nucleotides) under Heterocephalus glaber (naked mole-rat). RNAcentral describes it as "lncRNA (ENSHGLG00100037812.1)". Lineage: Eukaryota; Metazoa; Chordata; Mammalia; Rodentia; Bathyergidae. The record is from RNAcentral.
GAUUUUCCCCCCAAGUCCUGGCUGCCCUGUGCUGCCACUGGGUAUUUGGCCUGCAGGAGAGGCUAGGUUGAUCACUGGUGCUGCGGCCACAGGCUUUCCACAAAAGGAGGAGGUGGUCAUUCUGCUGUCCAAUUGGGGUCCCCAGUGUGGGCUGAGGCCCAGUUUCUGGAUUUGAUGUGUGGUAUAAAUUUGCCCAUGUCCUGAACCCUGUGGGUCUGUGAAGUGUCAUAGGCUUGGGCUAAGGCAGCUUUCCCACCAUGUGGUGAGUACCCAGGACCGGGAAGCGAGCUGCCAGCUGGGCUGUAGUUGACCUUGGAGAUGGGAGGAGACUGGAAAAUGAUGGCUUUGGAAGGAGCAGUGGUAUCUGUGUGUUUCAUGUCAGAGGGAGGUGUGGAUGAUGAGAGUACAGAGGCUCUGUCUGAUAGCAUGGCUGCAAGUGUAGGGUAACCUCAUGACUGACAACUAAAUGACGGUGAGCAGGGUCACCUCUGGUCAUAUCUGCUUGAAUCUUUAUAAACCCAGGCUGCCCAGUUGUCUCCCUAGGGUCCACAGGCCCACCUGAUACCUCGUUUUCCUCAGCCCAAGAGGGAGGAUGGUGGCAGAAUUGUUGCCAACAUUAGUCCUGACAAUCCUGCUAAUCCCUCAGUAGCCCAUUGUAUCUCCAGACCCUUAAUUUUUCUGGAUUUGUUAUGUCACUUUGUAAAGAAAUCAAGCUGGUUUGUUUAAAGCAUUGGUAUCCAUAUAUAUAUAAGUGAGAUUGUAUAGUUCUUUUUCCUCCCGUAUUUUUGUGAGCUCCUAAUUAGAAUUAUGGUCUCCUUGGUUAUUAAAUCGGGAAACUUGUCAUCACUUUCUGCACUCUGGAACAGAAGAAUAAUCUGUUUCUGGAAUUUGGCAGAACCUGACUGCAGACUGCUGGUGUUUUGUCUUGUUUCUGUCUUGCAGUGCCGAGGAUUGAGUCCAGAGCCUAGGCCAAGUUAGUGUUUAUUGGCCAGAUGUGCUUAGUGAUCGCUUAUUUUAUUAAUCUUUUUGAAGAACCAGCUUUGGGAGUUCUUGGUUAGUGCUACUGAUUUUUAUCCUUCUACAUCAGUAAUUUCUGUUCUUAGUAUUUAUCUUUCUACUUCAUUUAAAUUUACUUUGUUCAAGCUCUAGCCUUCUGAAUCAAAAACUGGAAUCAUUUAUUUAACCAGUUGAUCCUCCUCCUAAACCAGGCAAGGUCUUGGAAUUCAUUUUGUUGGCCUCACAUGUUUUUUUCCCUCCAGUACCGGGGAUUGAACUCAGGACCUUGCACUUGCGAGGGAGGCAGCAGCACCACUGAGCUAAUUCCCUGGCCCGAGUUGGUUUUGUUUCAUCCUUGCUCCCUCAAAUCUGACUCAAGGUCCUGCCGUGGUAGCUCUGCCUGGGGUCUAUAUGUAUAACUACAGAGAAUGUCCUUCAAAAUCGUGACCAUAAAGCCCAUUGGAGGAGAACCAGCUUGAGGGAAGUAGAGAGUCCUGGGGUGUUUUGUUUGUUGGUUGGUUUGUAUUUGGUACCGGGAUCGAACUCGGGGCCUUGAGCUUGCAAGGCAAGCGACGGAGCCACUGAGCUAAAUCCCCGGCCCUGAGAAAUCCUGGGUUUUUUCAUGACCUUGAGUUUUGGGUGUCUUGGAUGCAGGCUAGAGAUGUUGUUGGACAUGGUAUAGAGUGAGAGGAGAGGUUUUGGCUGGGAUAUAAAUUCCUGGUUUUCCUGCAGUUUACCUAGGGGCACACAGGUAUGUAUGUAUGUAUGCAUGUAUGCAUGUAUGUAUGUAUGUAAUAACAGUACUACCAUAGGAAUCAUAAGCUCCUUGUAGCGGGCAGUGGGAAGCUUAGUCAAGUUCUCAAAGUCAGAAUCACUUGAGGUGCCUGCAGAAAAUUGUAGAUUGGUGGGACCCACCUUCAGAGUUUGUUGUUGUUUCUUUGUUUGUUUGUUUCGGUACUGGCAAUGGAACUCAGGACCUUCUGCUUGUGAGGUAUGCAGCAGAACCACUGAGGUAGAUCCCUGGCCCCCUUCAGAGCUUUGAAUGUGGUCAAACCAAGUAGACCUAGAGGUGUAGCUCAGUGGUACAGUUCUUCCCUAGCAAAUGUGAGGUCCUGGGUUCCUUUCCCAGUGCCACCAAAAGAAAGAAACAACAAAACAAAAACAAAAUAGCCUUGGUAGGUAGGAGAAUGUGCAGUUUUAUCAAGUUCCUACAUGAUGCUGAAGCUACUGGUCCCAGUACCUCACUUUGAAAUAAUUGUUUUUGAAUAUUUGGAAUUUAACCCAGGGUCUCUGCACCGAGCUACAUCCCCAGCCUAUAUGUAUAUAGAGAGAGAGAGAGAGAGACACCUUGUGUCCAAAUGUAUAUAUACAUGUACAUAUAUAUACAUAGUAUAUAUACAUGCAUAUAUAUGCAGAUGUAUCGCAAGCCGGGGUGUUCCGCAGUCACUGAGUUGCCCCAGCUGAGCUGAAGUUGAGAUCCUCUUGCCUCAGCUUCCCAAAGCACUGAGAUUACAGGAGUGACCCACCGUUUCCACACUGGAACGCUGGUGUGGAAUGCCAAGAAGGGGGGGGGGUCCAGGUCUUUCGUGGAAACACUCCUCCAUCAUCCAGGAGUGGAAGACGAGUCCUUGAGGAGACAGAGGAAGCAGCGAGAAAGGCCGGAGCACCUGCUGCUGGCCGAUGGAGGUGGCGCCCAGCAAAGAUGCAGACUCCUGGACCACAACUCCCAGGGCUCCUUGCGCCGAGUCGCGCGCGCCCCCCUGCGCCUGCGUGCGCCCUGAAGGCGAUAGGCGGGGCGCCAUUGGGUCGGUAGGAGCACGGGACCUUUUGCCCAGCGUCUCCGAGCUGAGAGUUGCGGUGGUUGCUGGCAGCUGCGACGUGGGCGGAAACGGAGGGGGAGCUGAGCCUGGC